AGAGCACGUAAUUCUGAUUGGUGCAAC
RNAcentral lists this non-coding RNA (27 nucleotides) under Rattus norvegicus (Norway rat). The record is from RNAcentral. Lineage: Eukaryota; Metazoa; Chordata; Mammalia; Rodentia; Muridae.